This is a non-coding RNA of Amborella trichopoda, 376 nucleotides long. The record is from RefSeq and is a predicted model, not a curated record. NCBI's taxonomy places the organism in Eukaryota, Viridiplantae, Streptophyta, Magnoliopsida, Amborellales, Amborellaceae.
CCAAGAGCGGAUUUCUUGUCGAAGGUUAUAUGGGGUGCAGUUGGCAUGUGGAUGCAUCCGUAGGCGUAGAGGGCCUUAAAAGGACUACUUGCUGUGUUGUUACCUUGACAUUGGCAUUUUUGUUCGGGUGCAAUUGGCAUACGGAUGCUUCCGUAGCUGUAGAGGUUUGUACAAGUUUUAUAAGUAUGAGAAGAAGGCCGCGGAGCGAUUGGAGAAGCUGAUGAUUUGACCGACAAGAGGUGGUGCAUGAAGAGUGCUUCAUUAGAGUUUUCUGGUAUUUUCUACUUCUUUUAGUUGUAGUGUAUUAGUUGUAGUGUAUUGUUGUAAUUAUCUGUCAUGGUUAAUAAAGGUAAGAACUAUUUCAAGAGCGAGACGG